Molecule: ribosomal RNA, 492 nt
Filed under: uncultured bacterium
Lineage: Bacteria
Description: partial 16S ribosomal RNA
Rfam family: Bacterial small subunit ribosomal RNA
Source: RNAcentral
AGUGAACGCUGGCGGUAGGCCUAACACACGCAAGUCGAACGGCAGCACAGUAAGAGCUUGCUCUUACGGGUGGCGAGUGGCGGACGGGUGAGGAAUACAUCGGAAUCUACUUUUUCGUGGGGGAUAACGUAGGGAAACUUACGCUAAUACCGCAUACGACCUACGGGUGAAAGUAGGGGAUCUUCGGACCUUGCGCGAUUGAAUGAGCCGAUGUCGGAUUAGCUAGUUGGCGGGGUAAAGGCCCACCAAGGCGACGAUCCGUAGCUGGUCUGAGAGGAUGAUCAGCCACACUGGAACUGAGACACGGUCCAGACUCCUACGGGAGGCAGCAGUGGGGAAUAUUGGACAAUGGGCGCAAGCCUGAUCCAGCCAUACCGCGUGGGUGAAGAAGGCCUUCGGGUUGUAAAGCCCUUUUGUUGGGAAAGAAAAGCAGCAGGUUAAUACCCCGCUGUUCUGACGGUACCCAAAGAAUAAGCACCGGCUAACUUCGUG